This is a long non-coding RNA of Pseudopipra pipra, 13310 nucleotides long. RefSeq lists it as uncharacterized. NCBI's taxonomy places the organism in Eukaryota, Metazoa, Chordata, Aves, Passeriformes, Pipridae. The transcript has 3 exons. The record is from RefSeq and is a predicted model, not a curated record.
UAGCUUUAGUCUUUCUGAAGAAGGUCACUCAGGGCUCUGCAGUGGCACAGCCUCUGGAAUGAUGGGUUUGUUCCAAGUGGGUUGGUGCCACACAGCUCUGGCUCUGCAACGAGCUGCCCAUCCAGGAGUGCCUGUGUCUCCUAGGUGAGGGCUGAACUCCUGCCUGGGCUUUUCAUCACCUUAAAAAUGGGACAAAGAUGCUCUUCACCCACAGGCUUGUGACUCCUGCAUUUUCUGACGGAGUCUGAUAACUCCAGGUAAGGGAUCUUAUGGAGAAAAGUCUAAUUUUUAGCUUUCUUUGGACUGCUAGUUGUUUACUUCUAGUAAGAAGUAGGCAAUUUAGGCUAAGAGUAAGUGCCAAGAUCUUACCCCUGAGGGCUGUUUACCUUGGGAACAGCUGAUCCUGGGAUGUGGUGAAGUUUCUGCCACAUCUUCAGAUCAGAACUGAAUAUGUGACUAACACAUAAAUGCACAUGUGAGUUGAAUGAGGUUACAGAGGAAACUGCAGACUGAAAUUCUGGGGUCUCCACGGUGUGGGAAGCACCAUUUGGGUUGUAAAAAUGUGUCCACUUUGGUCUUAAAGCCGUAAUUCUGCCACCACCAGAGGCACGAGCCCGAGGACGUGGUUCAGGGGUGCCCACAGUGGUGGUGCUGGGUUGGUGGUUGGACUUGAUGGUCUUAAAAGUCGUUUCCAGCCUCAGCAAUUCCGUGGUUCUGUGACCAAUUCUUGCCUUUCAUUGAUGCACAGAGCAUGUGUUAGGCAGAACAAGAGAGUGAGGUGAAGGAAUUGUGCUGGAGAAGGCAGAGAGAAGAAAACUCUGUCUGUGAAUUGCUCUUAUUUUUCUUCCCCUGAUUUUCUGGUGAAAAGCUAGAAUUAGAAAUGUGUUUGUGAUCAGAUAAUUAAUGUGUUGGGGUAAAAAAAAAUCUGUGUUCAGCACUGUCAGUUACAGCUAAAUAAAAACAAAGGAAAUUUUAGCUUAACAAUGAUUUUCCUUAUUUGAAGACUCGUUCUUUGAGUUAAGAAUUUGGAAUGCAGGCUGUGGUUCUGGUCAUGAUUUAUCAUAAUGCAGCAUCCAAUUUUAUUUGGAGUUACAUUUUAGCCUUUUAAAAAGCUUUUGCUAAUAAGAAACGAAGGGUAUAAAAAUCUGAAAGCAAAAGACAAACAACAUCCAGGCCCAAAACGUUUAUCUGUGUAAAGGUUUUAGUGGAGAGGAAUUGUACAGCCCAGCCUUGUUUAGCAGUUUCACAACUGGACUCUUAAUUUGUUUAUUUUUGUCAUAAAUCAUGUUGUUAAAUAAUGCACUUGUGUUCUUCUUAUUUUCUAGAUGUCAUAACAUUCUUUUGAAAUGGGUAAAAAUGCUUAAAUUCUGAUAUUAUUAAUAUGUGUAAGGCACAACUUCUGCAUCUGACUCUAUUCAUCACAUCCCAAAUUAAUCAUCAGGGACAGAACCCAAUAUCUCAUUUCAAGCAAAGGCCAAUAGCUCUUGGGGAAAUUAAAUCAUCUCUCAGAAAUAUUUCAUUUUGAAAAGCUAAUAAUUCAAUGGAAAUGGAUUUUUAGAGGGGAAAACCUGAGUGUGUUACAUAAUCUUUCUGUAGGGGUCUCUGUCUCCUACAUUAACAUUUCUUGUCACAUUUGAAAUCAGAAUUUGUUGAAACAUAGUUUACACUGCUGUUGUGAGUGUCACAGUCCUUUAAUGUUUCUGAAAUGAUAAUAAUAUCAUUUGGGAACUCGGGGGAACAGCACUUAAAUCUGAUUGAGACAGAGCCAAAAUCUGAUUGAGACAGAGACAAACACAAAGGGAGCGACAGACACAGGGCAGGAAAUCCUGGUUUUCACAGUGACAUUUUUAUCUCAUCUUUCCCCUCCCCUGUUCCACUGCAGAAUCGUGUGUCCAACCACUUUUACAAAAUAAUGUGCAAUCUGCUCUUCUGUUCCCCUUCCCACUUGGUGUGACAACUUAAUGGAGAAUGGAAAAUGCAUUAAAAGCCUAUUUAUUUUUAGCUUUCCUGCUCUAGGUAGUAGACAACUCAUGGCUCUGCAGUGAGGGAGAAAAGGAAGGACAUGCACCCUGGGUGAAGGGAGAGGAUGGACUUGGAAGGGGAAAGGCUGGCUUUGGAAUUUUUUUUGUUCCAGUAAGUGUUUAUAACACUUACCACUUUAAAGAUGUAUUGGCCAUUUCAAAAUUAACCUAGAGUAGAUUUGUAUUAUUAUUAUUUAAUUGUAAAGCAGGUGUUCAGAUGUCUCCUUUUGAAAGGAACAGGCUCAGUUCAAUGCUGUUUGAUGGUAUUUUCAGGCUCUGGUAGAGAAGUUUGCAGUAAAGUCCCCCACUUGCCUCAGCAGGAGGAGAGUCAUAAUAUGCUCUAAUAGCUAAAAAAGAGGUUGUUCUGUCAUUUUUCUUUAGUUGGAGUCCUUUUUUCUCCAUGUCUUUAUGCUCCUGGAGGUGCCAGAGGUGUGAUGAUCAGCAGGGCUCACAUCCUUGAUUUGUCUGUGCUCCCUUGGGCUACUCUGCCCUAUAACCCCCCACCUUGAACACCUUCAGAGACCUCAGAAGGAGCUGCAAAAGACACCUGAGGAAAGCAAGUCCUGCCAUCAGCAGGCCUGGCUUUGCUCCCAGGGGAUGUCUCCUGCCAGGGGGAAGUUCUCAGCGCUGCCAGUCGACAUAAAGGAUGAAAAGUUCCUGCCAGGAUGAACUUGGAGCUGAAAUCUGCCCAGUAAACAGUGGCCUGAACUCUGAUGAAUCUUUCUGGAGCAGUCCCAGCCAAGACAUAAUGUAAUCCAUAUGCUUCAUCCAAGUGACAUAUUAAUUAUUGAUUAUGCCUAAUGAAUAUGCUAAUAUGCAGAAUUCAGGAGUCUCUGCUGCCCUGCUGUGCUCUCCAGGCCCUCAUCCAUUUUUUAAGAGGUGCCUGUAGGAGACAGUGCCUGGGCUCGUGCCAGGGCUCCGUAAUGAACACCACACACAGAGUUCAAGGGCUGCUGCUCGUCCUUCAGGAGCGACAUCACAAACCUGUUCUGUCUGCCAGUCGUUCUGGAAACUCUAAAUUAGAUGAUUCACUUUCCCCGCAAAUGGGGUGAGUUAUUAGUGUUUUUCUGUUCGGCUGGGGAUGCAGAAUAAGGUGUGACCUCAUUUUCCAUUUCAAAUGAAGCGGGGAAGGGGGAGAGAAAAAUAAGUGGGAAGAAGUUCAGCCCAAUGGUCUAGUUGAUAACACAGUGAAACUUCAGCACUCCUUCUGUGUACAUUUACAAGGAGAUUACAAAAGGCUGUUAAGCCUUUCUGUCUCCUCCCUGGUUUCAAUCCUCGGGUGAAAUAACCAAUAUGCACAGAGGAAACAAAAAGGUUCUGCUGAUGGGGCCUUGACUGAGGUUUUUGAAUGCAGAGCAAAGGCUGAUGUUUAAAUUGCUUCCCUCUAAAGAGCCCUGGGGUGCUCUGUGCUGCCUGUGGGGGCCUCAGCAGAUGCAUUCAUGAGCCUUUAUGGUUGAAACGAUUAAUACAACAACGCAUAUUAAAGCAGUGACAAUUAAUGUAAUAACAGAGGUGAAAAUGGGAAUAGUUUAGUGAGCCAGGCUUGGAAGAAGUGCUAUUGUAAGCUUUACAAUGCAAGACAGAAUGGUGUCUUGAGAACCUUACCAUGAGCACUUGUGAGCUGAUAAAAUAUCAACCUUGAAGCUAUUAGAUUGCAGAGAAGAAAAAGCCCCUUUCGUUUUUUGAAUGCUGAAUUAUUUAAUUUCAGCAAUUGUUAUUUUUCUGCUGUUUUUCAAGUGUUAGCAGGCUCUCUCCUGUAAAUCAUAAAUUAAGUAAUGCUACAGCUGCAAGCCAAGGCCCCAGAAGAAGUCAAACAGUGCAUAAAGAAAGACUUGACUCCAAAGCCCAGUCUGUGUAUUGAUGGGUAAAGAAGCAUUAUAAAAAGGCAGUGAUGGUGAGUCACGUGGACAAUCAGUUUUUCUCAGUCAAAAUUCUGUUUCAAAAUUCUUUGGAGAGUUUGGGAAAGUCCUUUCUUUGAUGGGGGUUAAUUUAGGGGAAGGUUAAGUUCAUCCGUGAGGAAUUGGGAUGGGACCACAACUUUUCAGGGUGAGUUAGGAGUGUGGAUUCAAGGUUAGUGAGAUCUUUAUGUGUCAGUACUGGAAACUUCCAGCAGUAAUAGGAACUGGAAGCUGCAGCCCUAAAACCAGAGACUCUUUUUUGCCUCCUUCCUCCUGGUGCAUCUGGAAGGAACGUUCUGGCUGUGGGUUCUCCCACCAUGGAGUCCAGAAUUCCAGAGCUCUUGAACCACAGACUCUUCUCAUGUCAUUUUUCUCUGAGAAAAAGGAAGGAUUUAUGGACAGGUUCUCUGGGAUCUCUGACCCAUGUGAGAACCUUGAUCCAAUUCACUGAUCCUUAGAGGAAUGUCUUGUGUAGAGUGAGCUUAAAUAAUAAGACAUCCACUUUCAACCCAUCUUUGUGUAACAGGUGUGUGUGUGUUCUAAGUUUUAAUUUUAGUGCAAACCAAAGCACUACUAUAACUAAUAUAUUUAUUUUAUAUAUAUAAAAUACUUAUUUUAUAUAUAUAAUUAAAUAUCUAUUAUUAAAAAUACAUAUAAAUAUAAUAUCAAUAAUAUAACUAAUACAAACUUGAAUAAAGAUUUAUCCCCCAAAGCCUGGAAAUGCAGCUGACCACCAUCUGUUAGAGAUCUCUACAGUUUGAAAAAAACUAUGUAAAAAUAAUCUGAAGAUCACCAUUUUUUUCCUAACAGAGCAGCAGAUAAGAUUCCUCUUUCAGCCAGGGCAAAACAUUUAUUGAUGCAGCAGUUGUGCCAAAAGAGUGAUGAGGUGAAUGAGUUUAAACUGGUCUAAGGUCUCCUAAAACAGCAGAAUAAAUGGUUGUGUAACACUAGGUUCUUUUCUUAUGUUCUUUUCCAGCAAAAUAUCUAAAUAUACUCAUAGAAUCCCAGAAUGGUUUGGGUUGGAAGGGACCUUAGAUAUGGUUUCAUUCCACCCCCUGUCGUGCUCCCCAGGGAAGGUCUCAGGGCACAGGAGAACAUAUUCCUGCCAAAACCAAGGUACCAGACAUGACACACCUCCCAUGAUAUUCCACAGCACAUGGAUAUCUUCGAAGGAAAAGUGCUUUUUCUUGGGGUUUUGUGCCAAGAUGGUCCCUGUGAGUGGUUUCGCAGAGGAUGCAGAGCACCUUGGCUCUUUGCUGGCUGCAGAUAUUCCUCUGAAAGAACGUGCAGGUUUGUUCUUAGAGGUUGCCAGUGGAAAAAAAAGGAUUGUUCCUGCUUCUGGAGCUGGAGACCUUCAAACCAACUGUCCUGAAAGGCUGGGGUAAAAUGCUGAUUGUUGUUAUCUCUGCUGAUCACAGAGGCAUUUAAUUCACCCAACAGCCAGCUGAUGAAUUAACACUCUUUACCCUCAGAUAUUUCCUUUUGUAUUCUUUUUCUUUGAAGUGGGAUAUGUAAAAUGAAUUGCCAAAACCUGCCAGCCUGAGCGGAAUCAGUACAAAAGGUGCUACACAGAACCUUCAGCCUCAAAGGUAAACAGGAGCAAACUCUGCAUUCUUGUGGUUGCUCUUGGGGGUCAAAGCAAUAAAUACUCUGUUUUCCCUGCUUGAAGUUUAUCUUUUCUGUAGGAAUGUGAUUUUGCUUUCGAAAAAAGCUUUAAUUCUUCUUCCUUGUGAAAACAAAUUUCAUCACCAACCCAUAAAUAAUCACAGGGGAAAAAAAAUAAUAGCAGCCUAAUUUACAUCUAACCUUUCUUUUUAAUGAUUAAUGGGUACUAUUUAUGUAAACUGUUUCUACAUUCCGGCGUGAAAUGAAAUUUAAAUUGCAAAUUUUACAGUGGUGUAUUUUAACUGGUGACCCUUUCCCCAGUCACAAAUUAAAAAAAAAAACCCAAUUACAUUUGUAAUAAAGAUGCUAAUGCAUUUCUUGGUUUUAGGGCACGUAAAGUUCUUACUGCCUGCAACUUUUAUUUUCCCCGCCGACGAGCCAAUAAAAAAAUGUAUUUUCCAAAGAGCUCCAAGAUAUGUGGGUGUGGUGGAUGAAGAGGAAUUCUCAGCACUUCCACUUUGCAGCAGCAUUCAUGGGCAAGGAAACCUGUGGUGUCUCUCACUGCCCACAGCCCCGGGAUGGAAAGAAGGUUUUCAACACCUUCAAGGCACCAAACCUUCUCACCGAGAAGCCCAAGGGCUCCUCAGCAGCUGUGGUGGCUCAGUCCCUCAAUGCUGGUGUGGAAGAUGCUCUUCUCUGCUUUCUGCAGAGCUCCAAGUGUAGCUCUUGGCUUGGAUCCCCUUCAUCCAGGGCUGCCAGAGAUGCAAGGAGAGGAGCUCCCAGCUGGAACACCCCGCAGGUCCCUGGAGACUCUCUCCAAGUUAUUUGUGUCCCACAGAGCUUUUGAUUUAGGGUCUUGGAGGCAAUUCCAGCCUAUUAAACAGUGAUUUCUUUCUUUUGCUUCUAAUGGCACUCAGGACCCUCUUUGGGGGUAAAAAAGGAGAAGGUGUUUUGGUAACUCGUUGUUGCUUCAUAUGACCUCAAGGAGGACCCAGAAGGUGGAGAGGAAGGACUGGAGUGUUUUCCUGUGUCUCAUCACAUCCAGGGCUGUGUUCAGCUGAGACUUUUAAAGAAGUAAAAUUAUGCUGGAGAUAAAGCUUGUCUUGUGGGCAUUGUACUUCAAAAAAUCUUCAAAGUAUCUGAAACAAAGAUGAAAACAUUAACAUGAAAAACAUCCAAACAACAGUAAUGCGACAUGUGAUAUUUAAAAAGCCAAAUCAAAUGCCAGCUGCAUCAUUCCAGGCUCCUGAAGAACACCUGCAGCAGGGAAAGAAGCUGGACAGGAAGAGUUUGGAAGGCAUUUUGGUUCUGUUAAUUAACUCAUCAGUUAAGAACCCCGAGGAGGGGUGUGGGUUGUUGAAGUCCUCGGGGAGUGGCAGAGUUUGCUGUCCCCUUGUCAUUUCUGGGCUGGUCUCAUUUGUGCUCAGCCUUUAUCAGCAGGGCAGAUGGAAAUCAGAGCUUGCAGGAGCUGUAUUAUUAUUAUUGUUUUGUUUUCCAGCAGACAUAAAACCUGACAGUUCCCUGACAUCCCUGGCAAUUGAGGGCACAGACAUUUCGGGUUGCAACGUUUCUCUGCACAAAAGCUUAAUAGACUUGACGUGAUUUUCCAUCUCUCCUUGUUUGAGAGGUGCAGGGGAGCCAGAGUGAGAUGUUAACUUCCACCAAGAAAAUCAGAAUCUGCCACUUGCUUUUUGAUCUGCUGCAUCACAUCCUCAAUUUCUAUCAACUGUCUUCGGUUGUGCUGAAAUAUGAUUGAACAUUCAUCUUGUUCCGUGGCUCUGGUGUGCAUAUAGCACAAGUGACUACAAAUUGAGAGCUUAAUACCACCUGUUACUUUUAUUUGCUAAAAAGGUACCAGUUUAUGCUGGUUUUCUUCAUAGGAGAAUAAAACUGGAGUUAAGCAUUGCUUUGGCUGAACAAAAUUCAAUAUAUUCAGGCUUUGAAUAGCCUAUUUUUUCUCUUUUUCUGUCCUUAAUUUUGUUUCUGUUUCAUUCUCAGCCUGCAGUAAAGUAACAUCUUCAGCUCAUCGUGGGUAAAAGGUGAUCCAGGUGUUUGGGGUGUGGUAAUUCCACUGCUAAUCCCAGCAAAGGCUUGGAAAAGGGGAGGGAGUAGUGAUUCACUGACCCCUCAGCAUUCCCCAGUUUUCCCUUUUCCUCCUUGUGGUGCCUGGGUGAAUUUUUUACUGGUUUUAGUGCAGAAAUUCCCAGUGAGGUGGGUGUCACUUGUUAAAAGGAUUCACUGUCAUGAGCAUUCUUGCAGCUUCUCUUAUUUUGGCAGUUUUUAAAAUGGACUUUUUUAAAAAGCACAGUGGUUUCCCACUGACAGGUUUAAUCACAUAGGGCUUUUUUUUUUUUUUUUUUUCAUUUUUCUAUUGUGGGUAAAUAUAUCUCUUGUGAACAACCACUGCAAAGCUGUGUGGCUACAAUUAGGGGGCAGGGUUUGGGCUUCAGGAGCCUUCCAGCCAGCAUUUAGUGAGCUGCACAAAGGGGUUUCAAAAGGAACUUGAUUUUUGAGGAUCAGCUUGUCCUGGUGAACCUCAGAGAAACACUCAGUGCACUGACAAAAUUCAGCUUUGCUGGAGCAAGGAAAAAAGCCCUUAGAGGGGGAUGAGGAAGCUGGAAAUGGGAACUGGAAAUGGAAUUCAGUGAGGAUUCAGGUGGAGGAAAAAAGGGUUGCUGAGACUGGGAGGUGGAAGUAUUUGACAUCCCUGCUUUCUUCCCAGGCAGCCUUUCAGUUCUACAUCUACUUGACCCUCAGGGCUCACAGCUUUGUGCCCUCCAGCCCAGGAAGGACCCAGAAAAAAAAUGUUAAAGAAAAAAUAGGGUUAGAAUCUGUGGAGGGAGAGUGAGAAAAACCAGGGAAGUUUGGUGGGAAAGUCUGGAGUUUUCCAUUCCGGCAGGUGGAAGGUUCCUGGGGAGCUCAUCCCGUCAUAGAUUUACUUAAACAUCCUGUUUUUUUCCCAGCAGGAACUGGGAUGGAUGGAUGGAUGGAUGGAUGGAUGGAUGGAUGGAUGGAUGGAUGGAUGGAUGGAUGGAUGGACAGCUCCAAGACAGAAGGGCUGGGGCUGCCAAUCCACAUUUCAUCACCGAAAGGAGCUGAACUCGUGAGUUCCAAGCUGUGCACUCAAAAUAAGGUGGUUGGUACAACCCCCAAAUUCCUGGUGGGCAGUAAUUUUCCUGACAUCCCCAAGAAUGAGUUUUAGCAGGCCUGGCUGCUGUACUUGUUUUAAGGGAAGGAAAGAGCCUGAACCAGCCUGAACCAGCACCAGCUUGCACUGGAAAACUCAAGGCUGGGAUGAAGAAAAGUGCAUUUUUCAGAGCCUGAACUAACUGGGGGACAUGAGGUCAUAGGACACACCUUUACAAGGAACUAAAACACAGUUAACAAGGACUUACCUCCUUUGUUUUCCAGAAACACCAGAUUAAUUCAGGCUCUUGUUUCAGCUCAGAGGCUGAAGAAUUUCCUGGAUAUCCACAAUGCCCAGCGAGAGCUGGAGAUUCUUGGUGUUUAUAUGGAUUCACGGCUUCCCUGUUGAUUGAAUGGGUGUAAUCAUCAUUUUCCAAUAUGCAGAAAUUAAGGCCAAAUGCAGCCUGGUGCCUCCACUCUGAGCUAAUUGAUGCUGGCUUUAUGGAUUGUGUUUUCUUUGCUGAGGACCUUCUUGCUGAGCGAAUUUGACAAAUGAAAACACUUGCUGGGAUUUGAUUUCUCUGGCAAUUUUCUCUGUUUUCUUCCACUAGCAAUAUCAUAUUUUUGUUUGUGAAAGGGAGGGUUAUUGUUCAUCCUAGUUAUUUGCCAAAGUAAAAAUAACUGAUAUUGAGGACACAUUAAAAUGGAAGCAGGUGGAAAAGAGCGGCUCCUAAAAAACCAAAUAAAAACAUGAUUAGAGACAAUUUUACAGACUUCUUGGUGGAAAACUACUUCAAGAAGAAAACUACUGUUCCAGAAGACAAAUGGUGAUACAACUUGCUGGGAUAUUUGGCUUUUCUUAUAUUGCUGGACAUCUUCUAGAGAUAAAACACACUUUUAAGAAUUUAAAAAUUCCAUUUAUUCGUGUUUCUCUGGUAAGUACAAAACCCAGGUUGGGCUGGAAAUGCAGAGCAGAAGGCCCAGGAAUACCUGGGUUUAUUAGGAAGAAUAGGAUUAGGAAGAUUAGGUAUUAGGAAUACCUGGGUUUAUUAGGAAGAUUAAGAGAUGGGAUAUAUUGGAAAAGCUGGAGCUUUCCAAGUUCCCUCUCCAACCCUGUUUUCCUACCAGUCUUUAGGAAACACGAUUCCCAGUGUGGCCCUUGGGAGAUGGGUGAGCAGGACUAACAGGAGCUGGACUUAAUCUGUCCAGGGAUACUUUUGUAAAGGGAAAUAGCUCUGCCUUGGAGCUGAAGGUUUGAAUCUGAGACAUCAUUGUUCUGGCCUCACUGCCUGGGAGGGAAUGCAACCAGAAACAUUUAUUCCUUCUGGAAAAAAAUAGACUCAUCCAACAGAAUUGUACAUGGAAUUGCCCACAAUAAAAGGAUAAACUGCAGUCAUUGCUUUUACAAGAUGACCUUCACUACUUGCAUUAAUCAUUCGUCUUGGUGUGGCCCACAAAUAUGAGUCAUAAAGGAGCUUUCAUUCAUCCAAAUGGCAUUUAGGCAUCAAUGAAACUGAGGGUGUGCCUACAACAUCCAUUGAAACAUAGAAUUCCGGAAUGAUUUGGAUUGGAAGGACCUUAAAGCCCACCCAGUUCUACCCCCUGUCAUGGGCAGGGACACCUUCCACUAGCCCAGGUUGCUCCAAGCCCCGUCCAACCUGGCCUUGGACGCUUCUUGAACAUUGUCUGGUGUUCCUAAAUAAUCAUGGAUAUCUAAACCAACUUGGUUUAUAAUUAGCCAGCCCAGACCUCACCACAGACUCCAAAAGCUUCCCAAAAACUUGGACGAUCCCCAUCCAGGUGCCUCUGCUCCAAGAUGUCCCUUGCUUGGGUUUUCCAGCCCAGGGCUGCAGACACAGCUCUGUUGCACCCUUGUGCCUCCCCUCUUCCAAUAUCCAUCCCUCCCAUAAUCCAGGUGUUCUGGAGAACCUGUCCCAGGUGGGAGGGCACAGAACAACUCCCUUCUCCUCUAUCCUGCAUUCCAAGGGCUACUUUUCCAGAGCCAGGACAAGGUGUCUCAGUCUAAUGAGACUGAAGUGUUUGCUAAGGAGGAUGAGUUAUGAGGAAGACUAAGCUCCUCCCUCCAAGCAAUUGUAAAUACGAAAUAUAGAAGCUCUGGAGAGCUUGGAACACCACCAGGCCCCCACUAUUUUCCCUCUUACCUCCUGGGUGAUCCCUGGGGAAGCUGAGGCUCUGAUCCCUAAAAAAAGGGCAGCAGGAUUCCUGGGAUACCUGUUUCACUCGGGAAUUUAUCCUUGCUUUCCAGGCUGCAGUCUUUCUUGCAGGUCGUCAUGGCCACGUUGAUCCGCUCCCCUUUCUGCAUGGAGAAGGGAAAAGUGGGAAUGUGUUAUCCCAAAUCCCUCCCAGACAUGUAAGGGGGAAAGGAGAAGUUGGGAAGCUCACAGGGGUGGUGUGGAUUCCCUUGUAGACCUCUCCAAAGAAUCCUUCCCCCAGGAUCCUGUCCAGCAUCACGUCCUCCCGGGAGACCAUCCCAGUGUAGUCUCCUCUGCCUGGGCCAUGAAAAGCAGGAUUGAGAGGUGGUCUGGCCUUGCUGGAAUCUCCAGGGAGGAGUUUGUACAACUCCUGCCUUUCCAGGAAUGCACAAAUCAACAGAUCGAUUUUAGGUUUUAAGGUUUUGGAGAGAGAAAGAAGCCAAACAGAAACAAAGCUUUUCAGCCUGGCACGUGGCUCGGUGCCACCCACGGAAAUGAACUGGAAAUAAUCCCCUUUCUCUGAAAGUCUUGCUAGAAAGAUGCUUUCAAAUGCUCCUCACUGGGUAGGAAAACAGGAUUUAAAGGGAGAUAAAUGGAAGACACGUGUUUAUACAAAAAGCAAAUAACUUGGGAACUGGGAUACCCACACUGGGAUACCCACACCACCCUAGAGGGAACUACUGGGACAGUGGUUUUGUUCUUUUUCUGAAGCUGAAGAAAGUGUCAAGAUGAUCAUUUCACUGGUGUGAAAAGCUAAAAAAUUUCUUUCUAAUCUUAGAUUUUAAUAAUGCAACGAAGAAAUAACUUUAAUAACAUUCUCAGAUACUGGCUCAGACUCUGAAACAUGAUUUAAGCUGUGCUACAGUGCAAGGGGGCAUCUUUAAUUGUCACUCUCUAACGCUCUGUUAAGAAAAGUGUGAUUGAUGGCCUUUUAAUGUUCCUUAAUUUUUUUUCUUGAAAAGAAAAUAGAUUUAUUGGCAUACACUGGGGCCCAAGUUUUUCCAUUAAGUAUGUCUGGAGCUACUUGGAAAUUUCAGAUGUAGUCAGAGCUGGUUUACAUUCCCUUUUAUUUAACCUCAUUAAGCAACCUUAAAGCCCUGGGACCUGACCUGGUAUUGCUGAAUUAAGAUUAUCUCUUGAAUUCCUUUAGUAAACCACACAUUAACCAAUCUAUAGAAAAAGUAGCAUUUUGUUACAGGCAAUUGAAAGAUGAAGUAAUUCAUAUUUCUGCAUUUCAUGCUGUUUGAAAGUCCAUUCAAAUAUUAUUGCCAGUGUUUGUACCUUCUCUGUGUUCUAAAGCAAAUUGAGAAAAAAGUCUAAUUAAAGAAAAAAAAAGCUGUUGGAGAUAAGAAAGAGGAAAGAAAGGACAACAAUUAUUGUGUACUGGUAAUAAAAGCAUAAUGUGUAAAUCACAGGAGAGUUUUCUCUCUUCCUGAACAAUUUUUGGAAAUGUUUGUAUUCUUGGAAGUUUUUAAUUUGUAUCUUUGAACCUGUAGCCACACAAUCAGAUUAAUUUUCUUGCAGUAACCAGGCAUUCUAAAAUGGUUUUGAAUACAUCAGAGAACAAACUGGCAGAUUGGAGCCUUUACAUCAAUUCUGGCUGGCAUUUUUUAAGAAGCCAGAGGGUAGGUGGUGUAUUUUUCCACAGAGCUGCUGGGAGUUUAGUUUUCCACAUUAAAUUCGCUAAAGGGACACGUUUUGCUGCUGUUACUCUGAAGAAACAGAGCUGAGGAUGUUUUGCCCAGAGAACAAUCUAAGGCUGGAUUAGAGAAGGCCCUGGGGGUGCUGGUGGGGCAGAGGCUGGACAUGGCCCAGCCCAGACCCCCCGUGCCCUGGGCUGAUCCCCCAGUGUGGGCAGCAGGGCAGGGGGGGAUUCUGCCCCUCUGCCCCUCAGCUGAGACCCCCCUGCAGAGCUGCUCCAGCCCUGGGGAACAGCACAGCAAGGACAUGGAGCUGCUGGAGAGGGUCCAGGGGAGGCACCAAGAUGAGCAGAGGGUGGAGCAGCUCUGCUGGGAGGGAAGGGGAGAGAGUUGGGAUUGUUCAGCCCGGAGAGGAGAAGCUUUGGGGUGACCUGACUGUGGCCUUGCAGGGCCUGAAGGAGCUACAGGAAAGAUGGAGAAGGACUAUGGACAAGGGAUGGAGGGACAGGACACAGGGAAUGGCUUCCCACUGCCAGAGGGCAAGGAUAGAUGGGAUAUUGGGAAGGGAUUCUUCCCUGGGAGGGUGGGGAGGCCCUGGCCCAGGUUGCCCAGAGAAGCUGUGGCUGCCCCUGGAUCCCUGGAAGUGUCCAAGGCCAGGUUGGACGGGGCUUGGAGCACCCUGGGCUGGUGGAAGGUGUCCCUGCCCAUGGCAGGGGGUGGGACUUUGGGUCCCUUCCCACCCAAACCAUCCUGGGAUUCUUCUUUUGCUCCUAUCACUUAUAAUGCAAUAAAUUAUUGGCGAAGUGA